RNAcentral lists this ribosomal RNA (116 nucleotides) under uncultured bacterium. RNAcentral's name for it is "partial 16S ribosomal RNA". It matches the Rfam family "Bacterial small subunit ribosomal RNA", at positions 395 to 525 of the family's 1533-position model. The record is from RNAcentral.
CGCCGCGUGAAGGANGAAGCCCUGUGGGGUGUAAACUUCUGUCGAAUGGGAGCAAUUNAAGAGAGAGUACCAUUCUAAUAGAGGCUGCUAACUUCGUGCCAGCAGCCGCGNUAAUA